GAAAAAUAAUCCAGGGAAGAUUUGACCCAGAGACUCCAGAUCCAGUAUCCCUUAUUUCCUAUCCUGCUACCCUCUGGGAAUACUAUCCUCAGGCAAAACGAUGCUAGCAAGAUGGCUGCCAGCAACUCCAGGCUGAUAUUUUUCAUGUCUUAGUCAAGUGAAAAGGAAAGGAAAAGCCUUCCUGAAGCUUCUACCUAGGUCCCUGCGUUUAUUUGGAUCGCCCCAUCUUACUUCAUGUGUUCAUUCUUGAAACAACUAUGAUUGGAAAGGCUUGAUCACAUGACCUGAUUCUGGAGCAGAAGGCUCUCAUUGACCUGGAGUGCACUCAUUCAGCUAGUCCUGCUGGCUACUGAGUCCCAGGGAUCUGCCUGCCUCUGCCUCUCUAGUGCUGGGAUCACAGAUACCUGCCUCCAUGUUCGGCUUUUGUCACCUGAGUUCUGGGGAUUGAACCCAUAAAUAUGAAAAAUGAAUUGCUUCCACUGAGCACUUUUGGCUGUUGGAAAUAGAAGGAGAGAAAUGUGGAGGUCAUCCACUACGGUGAUCAUGGAAGGCUUGGCCUAUCUUAAGGCCCAGACACAGAGCUAGAACCCACUGGGCUUCAGCUCCUGAACGUCUCCCAGCAGCAGAGCACUUUUCUCUUGCAAUAAACCACUGCCUCUC
Molecule: long non-coding RNA, 660 nt
Filed under: Rattus norvegicus (Norway rat)
Lineage: Eukaryota; Metazoa; Chordata; Mammalia; Rodentia; Muridae
Description: long non-coding RNA NONRATT005367
Source: RNAcentral